GCAAUUUAGCUGAGCAGGAGGGACAUUAAGAGUUAAAAACAACUCCUAAACCCAUGUGAAACCUACCUUUGUUGCCUCGGCAGGUCUGCAACUUACCCUGAGGGUACCUACCCUGUAGGUACCUUACCCGGUAGUUGCGGGCAUAACCUGCCGGUGGUCUACUAAACUCUGUUUACUAUGUCAUUCUGAAUAAUAUAACUAAAUAAGUUAAAACUUUCAACAACGGAUCUCUUGGUUCUGGCAUCGAUGAAGAACGCAGCGAAAUGCGAUAAGUAAUGUGAAUUGCAGAAUUCAGUGAAUCAUCGAAUCUUUGAACGCACAUUGCGCCCAUUAGUAUUCUAGUGGGCAUGCCUGUUCGAGCGUCAUUUCAACCCUUAAGCCCUGUUGCUUAGCGUUGGGAGCCUACAGAUACCCUCUGUAGUUCCUUAAAGUUAGUGGCGGAGUCGGUUUCACACUCUAGACGUAGUAAAUUUUAUCUCGCCUAUAGAUGAGCCGGUCCCUUGCCGUAAAACCCCCUAAUUUCUAAAGGUUGACCUCGGAUCAGGUAGGAAUACCCGCUGAACAUAAGCAUAUCAAUAAGCGGGAGGAAAAAU
This 593-nucleotide ribosomal RNA is filed under the name Xylaria venosula. Its description in RNAcentral is "eukaryotic LSU rRNA". The stretch from base 212 to 365 matches the Rfam family "5.8S ribosomal RNA". Lineage: Eukaryota; Fungi; Ascomycota; Sordariomycetes; Xylariales; Xylariaceae. The record is from RNAcentral.